GCUUCAAGCAGCAAAACUUUAUCUCGAAUGACUGCAGUAGUAAGAAAGGUCUGCAUACGGGCAGUAAAGAAACUUGGGCACCUAGGACAAAUGAAAGUUGGAGGUCAUCACUGCUUUGUCCUCAUAGAUGAGAGCAAAUUUUCACAUAAGAGAAAGUACAACCGUGGCAGAUUUGGCUCUGCUUGGCGACG
Long non-coding RNA from Puntigrus tetrazona (Sumatra barb), 191 nucleotides. RefSeq lists it as uncharacterized. The transcript is spliced from 3 exons. Lineage: Eukaryota; Metazoa; Chordata; Actinopteri; Cypriniformes; Cyprinidae. The record is from RefSeq and is a predicted model, not a curated record.